UGCGGAAGGAUCAUUAUCCUUUUAUCGGGGAGCUUGCUGCCGGCGCGUUUGGGCUCUUCGCUCAGCGCAUUGGCUUCAACUCUUUCUGAUUCUACCCAUGUUUUUUGCGUACUACUUGUUUCCUUGGUGGGCUUGCCUGCCGAUAGGACAAACCAACAACCUUUUGUAAUUGCAGUCAGCGUCAGUAACAAUGUAAUAAAUUACAACUUUCAACAACGGAUCUCUUGGUUCUGGCAUCGAUGAAGAACGCAGCGAAAUGCGAUAAGUAGUGUGAAUUGCAGAAUUCAGUGAAUCAUCGAAUCUUUGAACGCACAUUGCGCCCCUUGGUAUUCCAUGGGGCAUGCCUGUUCGAGCGUCAUUUGUACCCUCAAGCUCUGCUUGGUGUUGGGCGCCUGUCUUUCCUUUGGGGAGACUCGCCUUAAAACAAUUGGCAGCCGGCAUAGGAGCCUGGAGCGCAGCACAAUUUGCGCCUCUUGCUUUGAUUGUUGGCACCCAUCAAGACCUUUUUAUCAGCUCUUGACCUCGGAUCAGGUAGGGAUACCCGCUGAACUUAAGCAUAUCA
RNAcentral lists this ribosomal RNA (562 nucleotides) under Leptosphaeria sp. PHY-30. RNAcentral's name for it is "eukaryotic LSU rRNA". The stretch from base 205 to 358 matches the Rfam family "5.8S ribosomal RNA". Lineage: Eukaryota; Fungi; Ascomycota; Dothideomycetes; Pleosporales; Leptosphaeriaceae. The record is from RNAcentral.